UCCCACCUACCAUGAACCCUACUUCUCCUUUCCACCAAUUUUCCAUGGAUGCCACCUCUUCUAUUCCACAACCGGUUGGGACCACCAACAACACAACCCACGCUACUACGACAACUACAACUAUUCUUUCCCCUUCUUUUUCUCCUAUACGGCCACCAAAAAUCCAACUAUCCUUCACUGACCCUUUAGAUUGGUUAUUCCAAGCUGACCAAUUUUUUCAAUUUUAUAAUAUUCCUUGGGAUACUCGUUUGAUUAUGGUAGCCUUCUACAUGAGAGGUGAUGCACUCAAUUGGUUUAAAUGAAUGUACCAAAAUCAUCAACUUACUAACUGGAUUUCUUUUAGUCACGCCCCAGAACUCCGUUUUAGGCCUUCCACAUAUGAAAAUCAUCAGGCUGAGUUGUUUAAGCUGCGCCAAACCUCCACAGUUGCGGAAUAUCAAAAGCGGUUUGAGAAAAUUUGCAACAGAGUGAUGGGUUUACAACCCAAGAUGAUCCUUUAUUGUUUCUUAUCUAGCCUAAUCCCAAAAAUUCGAAGAGAAAUAGCAGUUUUGCAACCCACUUCCAUCACCCAGGCCAUGGGCCUAGCCAAGCUUUUAGAAUCUAAAAUCCAAGAUUCUAAAUGAUCUUUUCGUUUUUCCGAUACCUUACCCCCAACCAUCCAAUCAUUUAUUACCCUCACCUCGUCCCUCUCCCUCUCCCGCUACAACAUCCCAUGCAACCCCUUCCAUACCUAUCAAAAAACUCACCUCAACCCAACUCCAAGUGUGUAGAGCCGCUGGUUUGUGUUAUAACUGUGAUGAAUUUUUUUUUCCAGGGCAUAAGUGCACCACCCAUCGUUUUCUUCUUUUACUAAGUGACGAUUGUCCUGAAGAAAACAUUAUGGAAGACUAUCCUACCACAUUCAACGACCAACCCACAGACACACCUACACACAUUCACCUCUUCUUCCAAGCCUUGUGUGGAGCUCCCUCAACCCACACUUUUACCUUUGAUGGCUACAUUGGCCAUAUUCCUGUUACCAUUCUCAUAGAUACAGGAAGUUCCAUAACAUUAUUCAACCUCGUUUGGCCCUUCACCUCCAACUUUGCACUGUUCCUAUCACCCAUUUCUCAGUUAUGGUUGGAAAUGGCAACAAAAUUCAGUGUUCCUCUUUUUGCCCUAAUGCUCCCAUUUCUAUACAUACCUACACCUUUUCCAUUUUUUUUUACCUCUUACCUAUCGAAGGAGCUGAUGUUGUCUUAGGAAUGGACUGGUUGCAUUCUUUGGGCCCCUUAAUGGCUGAUUUUUCUAAGCUGCAACUAUCUUUUACCCACAAUGGGUUACCCAUUACACUACACGAUACCACAAAUCUGCUACACAGUCAAGCUUCCUUCACUCAUCUUUGCCAUAUGUUACACAUAGAUGUCAUUUAUUCUCUACAUCUCCUCACUAUUGACCCACUGCCAUCACCAUCCAGCCCUCACAGAUAAUCCAAACCCUCAGCUAUAUCCCAUCUUUUACAAACAUAUAGUUCAGUUUUCUCUUCUCCCCAUGGACUACCUCCGCACAGACCCCACAAUCACCACAUCCCCCUUAUUCCACACUCUCCCCUAGUUAACAUUCAACCCUACCGCUACCCACAUGCUCACAAGCACACCAUGACCUCCCUCAUUCUCGAAAUGCUCAACGAAGGCAUUAUCCGCCCCAGCACAAGCCCCUUUUCUUCCCCAGUUAUCCUCAUAAAAAAGAAAGAUGGCACCUGGCGUUUUUGUGCAAAUUAUAAAGGCCUAAACGCCACUACUGUUAAAGACCGUUUUUCUAUUCCAACUAUUGAUGAAUUGUUGGAUGAAGUGACCACUGCCAAGGUUUUCACCAAACUUGACUUACGUUCAGGUUACCACCAGAUUCGAGUUAAUCCUACAAAUUGCCACAAAACUGCUUUUAGAACCUUUGAUUGCCAUUACGAGUUCUUAAUUAUGCCUUUCGGCCUUGCUAAUGCACCAUCUACCUUUCAGGCAGCCAUGAAUGAUUUACUCAAGCCCCAUCUACAACACUUUGUCCUAGUUUUUUUUUAUGACAUUCUCAUUUACAGCAAAUCCGUGAAAGAACACAUUCACCACCUCACUUUGAUCCUUCAAUUAUUAGACACUCAUAAAUUCUUUGUUAAUGAAUCAAAAUGUGUGUUUGCCACAACCAGAGUCUCAUACCUAGGCCAUCUUUUGGAAGAAGGCACAGUGGCUCCAGAUCCGGAUAAAAUCAAGGCUAUCAUACUUUGGCCUAAACCUACAUCCCUUACUACUCUACAUGCGUUUCUGGGUAUUACGGGAUUUUAUCGGAAGUUCAUUCGCGAUUAUGCCACUCUUGCCUCGCCACUCACGGAGUUACUCAAAUCAUCAAUGUUUACAUGGAAUACAAAUGCAGAGGAAGCCUUUACAAAAUUGAAAAAUAUCCUAACUACAGCUCCGGUGUUGAGUCUUCAGAAUUUUGCCAUACCGUUCGUGGUAGAAACCGACGCCUCCAGCAUAGCAAUUGGAGUUGUGUUAUCCCAAGAAGGUCACCCCAUUGCUUUCUUCGGCAAGAAACUUUGCCCAAAAAUGCAAGCUAGCUCGACAUAUGUCAAGGAAAUGCUAGCUAUAACAAAAGCUGUCAAAAAGUGGCGUCAUUAUCUCAUAGGUACACAUUUCACAGUAAUAACAGACCAACAAAGCUUAAAGGGGUUACUCACCAAUGCAUGCCACACACAGAACAACAAAAGGGGGCUACCAAGCUGCUUGGAUACAGUUUUGACAUCCAAUACCGCCCAAAGCCGCCAAUAUCAAGUUGUUGAUUUCUUGUCCUGGCCACCCCAAUCCCUCCUUUUGGCCAUAUCUUCUCCGAUUUCGAACAUGUUCAAGGAAUUACAAGAUUAUUACAAGACAAAAAGGGGAGAAGAAGAGGUUCACAGAUUAAUUUCAUUACCUGACACCAAUUACAGUUUUCACCACGACCUUCUAUACCAUGCUCAAAGAUUAUACGUUCCUUCCAUAUAGCACAUUCGUUCGGCCAUACUCCACAAGUUCCAUGCUUCUCCCACAGCCGGCCACUCGGGCAUUAAGGCCACCAUGGCCAGGCUCGCAACCUCCUUUUUCUGGCCUUGUAUGUACCGCGACACCAAAAGGUAUAUCAAGGAAUGCCUACCCCGCCAACAAAACAAAUCAUUACAUCAUAAACCUUUUGAACUACUCCAAUCCAUACCCAUACCAACCAAACUGUGGGAAGAACUAACUACAUAUUUCAUCACGCACCUACCUUCAUCUUUUGGGCACACGAUCAUCUGGGUUGUUUGUGAUAGGCUCUCCAAAUCAGCCCACUUCAUCGCCCUUCCCACGUCCUUCACAACCACCCAUUUAGCUAACCGUUUUUCUAUUGAAAUUUGCAUGUUACAUGGAGUCCCUAAAUCCAUCAUUUCAGACCGUGAUCCAGUGUUCCAGAGCCAUUUUUGGAAGGAGUUGUUUCAUCUGCAAGGCACAAAAUUAAAGUUCAAUACGACGUAUCAUCCCCAAAUCGACGGUCAAACCGAAGUUAUAAAUCGCUGUUUAGAAGCUUACCUUAGGUGUUUUACCAGCGAAAACCCCUAAACAUGGUAUCGCUAUCUCCACCUUACGGAGUUUUGGUACAACUCCUCAUACCACUCGGCCAUCAAAAUUACACCCUUCCAGGCUCUGUAUAGAAGAUCGCCUCCUUCCCUUCUAGAUUACGUUCCAGGAAUUGUCGCAGAACCAACACUGGACACCACACUACAGGACCGUGCGUGAAUGUUGCACCAGUUAAAAGCCACACUGAAAGCAACACAACAAAGAAUGGCGGAAUCAACAAACAAAUAAAGACGUGAUUACCAUUUUUCAGAAAACGACUGGGUACUGCUCUGACGACAAGCUUAC
RNAcentral lists this long non-coding RNA (3899 nucleotides) under Phaseolus vulgaris (common bean). Its description in RNAcentral is "long non-coding RNA (PVUL_LNC001801)". The record is from RNAcentral. Lineage: Eukaryota; Viridiplantae; Streptophyta; Magnoliopsida; Fabales; Fabaceae.